UCUCCCAUGGUAGCUCGGGAAAUAUCUCUAUAUUUGAAAAUUGAAAAAUAGCCAGAAAUAUACAACCGAAGGAAGAAUAAUUCAUUCUAAGGAGAAAGUUAAAUAAAUCGAACUGCAGGGUGAGAUCAAAGCAGUAGUCUCUCCUUGUAGAUUUUAUAAUUUUCACAGUUUUCAUAUUGUGUUGACAGCAAACAUAUUUUACUUUUUAAAUGGAAAACAGAAUCGUAUGAUCCCAAUGCUGUCUUUAUCAAUGUCCCCCAGGACCCAAGUGAAAACAUUACCUUCUGCUGGUAAGUCUGUAGAGCAAGGUGGCGAUUCUACUUUGUGUUCUCAUCACCAGAGACGAUGCAUCAGAGACAGAAACUGGAGAUAUUUAAGACUGCCACCAUGUUUUUUAUUUGGCCUCGAGUGCAACAUUUAUUCUGUGAGAAAAUGAGACAGGACGGCCCGUGGUGACAGGGAAAGCCAGUCUCCUCCUGUUGGCUCCCUGGGAUAUCACUUUGAUUGGGAAAGUGUCGUGAGGCGCUCAUUCAUGAGGCAGAUCAGCAAGGAAAUGUCAAAACAUCGGCAAAUUGUUCAUAGGUACAACGCAUGACAGUGUUGACACCCUUUGCUUUUGGACCUCAAUUCCUUCAUCAAACAUGUGCAUCAUUAGGCAAAACACAACCCCCUAUAACAGGCAAAAGGUUACACAGUUAGCAAAAUUAAUGCAUCAAUGUAACCUCUCUGAAAUUCCCAGGAGAGUUCAUGUUUGCCCCUGAGGAUCUGCAAGGUGAGUUAUUUAUUCUCAAGAUGUAAAUGGCCAGAGGGGUUCACAUGGAAAACUGAAGAAAAAGAAGAUGAGCAAAACUUGGAUGAGUUUAGCAGUGAAACAAGAUCAUUGUUGAAGCUGGGAGGUGGAUAGCCUUGGGGGUCAUGAGGCUUUUCACCCUAAUUUUGUGUAAGUUUGAGUUUUCAUAAUAAAAUAUUAAUUGAGAGACUA
This is a non-coding RNA of Ictidomys tridecemlineatus (thirteen-lined ground squirrel), 982 nucleotides long. Lineage: Eukaryota; Metazoa; Chordata; Mammalia; Rodentia; Sciuridae. The record is from RefSeq and is a predicted model, not a curated record.